GCAUAUCACACAUUUUAUCAGUGACAAUGCAGAGGAGAUCCUGCCCAUUGUGCUGCCUGCCCUGUACCAGUGUUCAAACAGCCAGCUAUAUGAGUCUGUCAAGCACAUCCUGACUGAUUAUCUGCCACAGCUGCUCAUGAUGAAUCCUGAGCUCUUUGCACACUGCAUAGAGCAGAUCCUGACUACAAGACGGAAAGAGCAGCUGAGGUCCAAAGCAAGUGAAAAGAUGUGGAUGAAGAUCGAGGCACUCGCUAAGUCCAAAACACAGGAUGGAGGAUGAAAACCAUCCCCGAGGCUGUGAUUCAUCACAUCCAGCACACAGAGCACAAAAUAAAAGCAAAAUAAAUUAAAUUUUGCACACCAAAUUAUUGUUUUUCAUUAUUUUGAAGAUGUCUGUUCUACAAUCAUUCUGCCCCAGAAA
Molecule: long non-coding RNA, 421 nt
Organism: Thalassophryne amazonica
Lineage: Eukaryota; Metazoa; Chordata; Actinopteri; Batrachoidiformes; Batrachoididae
Exons: 4
Source: RefSeq, a predicted model, not a curated record